Molecule: long non-coding RNA, 1873 nt
Organism: Esox lucius (northern pike)
Lineage: Eukaryota; Metazoa; Chordata; Actinopteri; Esociformes; Esocidae
Source: Ensembl
UAUAUAUAUAUAUAUAUAUAUAUAUAUAUAUAUAAAAUAGGAAUCCAUUCUGCUGACUUUGUAGUUGUAUUUAAUUCAUUUAAGACCAGCACAUAAUAAUUGCUUGCAAUCUACCCUCAGAAAGUCCACAGAGUAGGCUGUGUUUACAACAUAAUGUCUGUUCCAGGCUGUAGGUGGAUUUGUUUUGUUUUAAAUAGGAAAUACGUUGGUAGCUAAUAGCCACUUGAUAUUAUAAGGAUGCUGCGUUUGUAUCACAUUGCUGAACACUAAGCUUUUGAAACAACUAUGAGUUUGAGUUAAUGAUGACGCUUUUCUGACAGUUGUGAAACAGAAGUCUAUCCUGUUCACCCACCACCUAAAUAUAUUCUGGACACCACCUGAUGACUGUAAAAACAAAAGCUUAAUUUUCCUGGUAAUUUGGAGGGAAGUAUCUUUCAACACAGCAGGAGGCAAGUUAAGAAAUGAUAGUUAAGGAAGUGAAAACACUUGAAUUAUGUUGGACACCCUUUUCCGAGCUUUACACUGACCUAUGCUGGUGGUCUUUAUAAAUGCUGUGAAUAAGCGCAAUAUUUACCUAAUUGUUUUAGAGACUUUUGCAGUUGCUUAGAUAUCAAUUCAUACAACUUUUGCAUUCGUUACAUUCUCGAUGUCAUUUAAUUCAGUUCCAACCAAAGCCACACAACCUAUACCAUAGCCGUCACAUUCGAUUGCACAGUAGUAUAUAGAUUUGCGUCAGAAUAAACAACAAACAUUAAGGGUGAAUUUCAGCGUACCACAAGCUGCGUUUUCACCGCAGCAGUAUCGAGACUCAUGGAAGGUUCUCGCGCGCGUGUACCAUAGCUCUUUCAGCUACAGAUGGGCUAAGGAUGCACCAGCAGGUGGCUGUGUUAUCCUUCAGUCCGCUCUGUCUAGAAGAAUCUUGCUCCUGCAGUUCGAUUGGACAUGGAUGUCGGCAAAUGCUUAUGCACAAGGCUUUGUAAUGGAACCGCUAACGGCUAAACGACAAUGUAUAGAUAGGAUGUAUUUCGAUGCCGCGGGUGAUUGCAUCUUCUCCGAUAUGGACAGUUACAAUGCAAUAGGAAUGAAAUUGGGGAGAUGGUCUCUGAACUAAGUGGGUACUGUUUUUGAUCUUUUAUGCUUGGCUAUAUUUGGCCUUCAGGCUGUCGAAGGUAGAUAUUCUAUAUUCCUCCCAUGAGUAUAUAUUUCUAAUAGGCCUUCACAUCUUUCAUAUUUGCUGUUAGUCCUACAUGCUUUUUACCACAAACGCACAUAGGAAAUAUGACGUGUGUUCAGCAGAUGUACUUAUACAUUCAAACUCCAUGACAUAUAAAGUAUGCUGCUCCAAAUUAUGACUUUGUAUACGUCAACUGUCUACUGAGUACACUACAAGGUGGUGAAUUAAAGAAAAGCAGGUGUAAUACAAUGGAUGUUAUAUUUUCACUAUCUUCAAAUUGUAUAAUGGAAUGGUGGGUACUGUAUGUUCACUAUGAAAUAUGUUAUGGUGUGAACUUUCCCCAUGAAUGGGAUCUAUAGUUUUAAUGUACAGCCACAACAACACUAGAUUGGAAGCUAAUGUGCCUAGUUUGUGGUAGUUAAUGAGGCAUGAGGACAGUUAAAUUAUACUGCUUUCUAGCCAAUUGUGAGUGUAAAUAAAACACACAGAAUUAACUUGGAGAGUCCGAACCCUUUGUCAUUACUCUGCUAGUAGUCUGUAUUUUAUUUGAACUUCAAUAUUUAUUUUAUUGAUUUGUCAUUUUCAACAUCUAAAUUAUUUAAUUUACAUUUGUCAAUGAACUACCCUAAUGUACAAUCUUUUGUUUUGAUUGAAAAUAAGGAGUUAAAUUAUUCCUGUAAAUAGACAUCUGCUGUGCCU